UGCGCAGGCGGAACUUUAAGUCAGUGGUGAAAUCUUGCCGCUUAACGGUAAAAUUGCCAUUGAUACUGAAGUUCUUGAAUAUGGUUGAGGUAGGCGGAAUGUGUUGUGUAGCGGUGAAAUGCAUAGAUAUGACACAGCACGCCGAUUGCGAAGGCAGCUUACUAAGCCAUUAUUGACGCUGAGGCACGAAAGCGUGGGGAGCGAACUGGAUUAGAUACCCUGGUAGUC
Molecule: ribosomal RNA, 228 nt
Filed under: uncultured bacterium
Lineage: Bacteria
Description: partial 16S ribosomal RNA
Rfam family: Bacterial small subunit ribosomal RNA
Source: RNAcentral